AGUGAACGCUGGCGGCAGGCCUAACACAUGCAAGUCGAACGGCAGCACAAGAGAGCUUGCUCUCUGGGUGGCGAGUGGCGGACGGGUGAGGAAUGCAUCGGAGUCUGCCCAUUUUUGGGGGGUAACCUCGGGAAACCGGGACUCAUACCGCAUACGACCUCCGGGUGAAAGCAGAGGAUCUUCGGACCUUGCGCAGGUGUAUGAGCCGAUGUCGGAUUAGCUAGUUGGAGGGGUAAAGGCCCACCAAGGCGACGAUCCGUAGCUGGUCUGAGAGGAUGAUCAGCCACACUGGGACUGAGACACGGCCCAGACUCCUACGGGAGGCAGCAGUGGGGAAUAUUGGACAAUGGGCGCAAGCCUGAUCCAGCCAUGCCGCGUGUGUGAAGAAGGCCUUCGGGUUGUAAAGCACUUUUGUUGGGAAAGAAAAGCAGCCGGUUAAUACCCGGUUGUCAUGACGGUACCCAAAGAAUAAGCACCGGCUAACUUCGUG
RNAcentral lists this ribosomal RNA (490 nucleotides) under uncultured bacterium. Its description in RNAcentral is "partial 16S ribosomal RNA". It matches the Rfam family "Bacterial small subunit ribosomal RNA", at positions 29 to 507 of the family's 1533-position model. The record is from RNAcentral.